AACGAACGUUGGCGGCGUGGAUUAGGCAUGCAAGUCGAACGAAUCCCCUUUGGGUAACUGAGGGGGGGAAGUGGCGAAAGGGGCAGUAAGGCGUGGGUAACCUACCCCGGGGACCGGGAUAGCCUUCCUAACGGAUGGGUAAUACCGGGCGAGCUGACGGAGGGGCAUCUCUCUGUCAGGAAAGGAGUUUCGCCUCGGGAGGGGCUCACGUGCUAUUAGCUAGACGGCGGGGUAACGGCCCACCGUGGCAAAGAUGGCUAGCGGGUAUGAGAGUACGACCCGCGCCACUGGCACUGAGACACUGGCCAGACACCUACGGGUGGCUGCAGUCGAGGAUCUUCGGCAAUGGGCGCAAGCCUGACCGAGCGACGCCGCGUGCGCGAUGAAGGCCUUCGGGUUGUAAAGCGCUGUCGAGGGGGAGGAAGACCCGCAAGGGUUUGACCUAUCCCUGGAGGAAGGACGGGCUAAGUUCGUGCCAGCAGCCGCCGUAACAC
Molecule: ribosomal RNA, 494 nt
Filed under: uncultured bacterium
Lineage: Bacteria
Description: bacterial SSU rRNA
Rfam family: Bacterial small subunit ribosomal RNA
Source: RNAcentral